CCGGACCGGCGCACGGGUGAGUAACACGUAUGCAACCUGCCCUCUUCAGGGGGACGAACCUUCCGAAAGGGAGGCUAAUCCCGCGUAUAUCGGUUUCGGGCAUCCGAGAUCGAGGAAAGAUUCGUCGGAAGAGGAUGGGCAUGCGGCGCAUUAGCUAGACGGCGGGGUAACGGCUCACCGUGGCGACGAUGCGUAGGGGUUCUGAGAGGAAGGUCCCCCACACUGGUACUGAGACACGGACCAGACUCCUACGGAAGGCAGCAG
This 264-nucleotide ribosomal RNA is filed under the name uncultured bacterium. RNAcentral describes it as "partial 16S ribosomal RNA". It matches the Rfam family "Bacterial small subunit ribosomal RNA", at positions 90 to 354 of the family's 1533-position model. The record is from RNAcentral.